UCCUUAUGGGAUGUGUUGCAGAUUAAAUGA
Molecule: non-coding RNA, 30 nt
Filed under: Homo sapiens (human)
Lineage: Eukaryota; Metazoa; Chordata; Mammalia; Primates; Hominidae
Source: RNAcentral